RNAcentral lists this ribosomal RNA (714 nucleotides) under uncultured Russulales. RNAcentral's name for it is "eukaryotic LSU rRNA". The stretch from base 241 to 393 matches the Rfam family "5.8S ribosomal RNA". Lineage: Eukaryota; Fungi; Basidiomycota; Agaricomycetes; Agaricales. The record is from RNAcentral.
CCGUAGGUGAACCUGCGGAAGGAUCAUUAUCGUACAAUGGAGGUGCAAAGGGUUGUCGCUGACCUUUCAAAGGUUGUGCACACCUGAGUGCCUUCACAUAAUCCAUCUCACCCUUUGUGCAUCAUUGCAUGGGUUCUCCUGAAAGGGAGGGCGCUGUGCUUCUUUUUCUUUUUUUCCACACAACCCCUAAAAGCAUUGUAGAAUGUAUCUUUCUUUUUUGCGGUGACACGCAAUUAAUAUAACUUUCAACAACGGAUCUCUUGGUCUCGCAUCGAUGAAGAACGCAGCGAAAUGCGAUACGUAAUGUGAAUUGCAGAAUUCAGUGAAUCAUCGAAUCUUUGAACGCACCUUGCACCCCUUGGCAUUCCGAGGGGUACACCCGUUUGAGUGUUGUGAAAUUCUCAAAACCCCUUUCUUUGAUACUUUUUCAUCAAGAAAUGGAUUUUGGACUUGGGGGGAUUAAUGCUCACUCUCACUUAUUGAAGGUGGGCUCCUCUUAAAUGAAUUAGUGGGGUUCACUUUGCCGAUCCUUGACGUGAUAAGAUGUUUUAUUUUACGUUUUUGAUUUAGCAUUGUCUCUCCAACUGUCUUAUGGACAAUGAUGGUGUUCUGGUCACCACUGCCCAUGUUGGUGGAUGGCUGGACCCACAAGAAAACCUUGACCUCAAAUCGGGUGAGACUACCCGCUGAACUUAAGCAUAUCAAUAAGCGGAG